Molecule: ribosomal RNA, 520 nt
Filed under: uncultured Glomus
Lineage: Eukaryota; Fungi; Glomeromycota; Glomeromycetes; Glomerales; Glomeraceae
Description: SSU rRNA
Rfam family: Eukaryotic small subunit ribosomal RNA
Source: RNAcentral
AGCAGCCGCGGUAAUUCCAGCUCCAAUAGCGUAUAUUAAAGUUGUUGCAGUUAAAAAGCUCGUAGUUGAAUUUCGGGGUUAGUAGGUUGGUCGUGCCACUGGUAUGUACUGGCUCUACUGAUCCCUCCUUCUUGUAGAACCGUAAUGCCAUUAACUUGGUGUUGCGGGGAAACAGGACUGUUACUUUGAAAAAAUUAGAGUGUUUAAAGCAGGCUAACGCUUGAAUACACUAGCAUGGAAUAAUGAAAUAGGACGCUCGAUCCUAUUUUGUUGGUUUUCUAGGAUUGACGUAAUGAUUAAUAGGGAUAGUUGGGGGCAUUAGUAUUCAAUUGUCAGAGGUGAAAUUCUUGGAUUUAUUGAGGACUAACUACUGCGAAAGCAUUUGCCAAGGAUGUUUUCAUUAAUCAAGAACGAAAGUAGGGGAUCGAAGACGAUCAGAUACCGUCGUAGUCUUAACCAUAAACUAUGCCGACUAGGGAUCGGAUGAUGUUAAUUUUUUAAUGACUCAUUCGGCGCCUUA